RNAcentral lists this long non-coding RNA (428 nucleotides) under Physcomitrium patens. RNAcentral describes it as "long non-coding RNA (PPAT_LNC011665)". Lineage: Eukaryota; Viridiplantae; Streptophyta; Bryopsida; Funariales; Funariaceae. The record is from RNAcentral.
UAAAUAACUUCGUAAAUCAAAUAUUAAUUCAUUAAAUCGAUUCUCUUCACUAGAAACAACACUAACACAAAAGAAACAAGAAAACUAAGAAGAAGAGAUAGCACCAAGCUUAUCCUCGGCUCAAUACUAUCGCAGUCUAGCAUUUUCUUCCCCUCUCCCAUCUUCCUUGUACUACCCCGAGAUACCAACUCCUAUACUACAGAUGAUAAUUACUUUUCCUAAUUAUUCAUCCAUUCUACCUGUUGAACCACCUUUUCAGUAGUUAUCUAUCCUUGUUUACACUAUACAUUAGGUAUCUACAUUCUAAAAAUAAGUACUUAUUCUACAUAGCCUCACUCCUAACUGUGCAGCGUCCUCGCAAAUACUCUAUUGAUACCUAUCUAAAAAUUAUCCAAUAAAACUCUACAAAAAUUGCGAUCCCUCUGGCC